Molecule: transfer RNA, 71 nt
Filed under: Candida gigantensis
Lineage: Eukaryota; Fungi; Ascomycota; Pichiomycetes; Serinales; Debaryomycetaceae
Description: tRNA-Ile
Rfam family: tRNA
About the family: Transfer RNA (tRNA) molecules are approximately 80 nucleotides in length. Their secondary structure includes four short double-helical elements and three loops (D, anti-codon, and T loops). Further hydrogen bonds mediate the characteristic L-shaped molecular structure. tRNAs have two regions of fundamental functional importance: the anti-codon, which is responsible for specific mRNA codon recognition, and the 3' end, to which the tRNAs corresponding amino acid is attached (by aminoacyl-tRNA synthetases). tRNAs cope with the degeneracy of the genetic code in two manners: having more than one tRNA (with a specific anti-codon) for a particular amino acid; and 'wobble' base-pairing, i.e. permitting non-standard base-pairing at the 3rd anti-codon position.
Source: RNAcentral
UAGCCUAUAUCUCAAUGGCAGAGAACCUCAUUGAUAAUGGGGCUAUACAGGUUCGACUCCCGUUAGGCUAA